This 443-nucleotide ribosomal RNA is filed under the name Salmonella enterica. RNAcentral describes it as "partial 23S ribosomal RNA". It matches the Rfam family "Bacterial large subunit ribosomal RNA", at positions 2369 to 2811 of the family's 2925-position model. Lineage: Bacteria; Pseudomonadati; Pseudomonadota; Gammaproteobacteria; Enterobacterales; Enterobacteriaceae. The record is from RNAcentral.
UUGACUGCGAGCGUGACGGCGCGAGCAGGUGCGAAAGCAGGUCAUAGUGAUCCGGUGGUUCUGAAUGGAAGGGCCAUCGCUCAACGGAUAAAAGGUACUCCGGGGAUAACAGGCUGAUACCGCCCAAGAGUUCAUAUCGACGGCGGUGUUUGGCACCUCGAUGUCGGCUCAUCACAUCCUGGGGCUGAAGUAGGUCCCAAGGGUAUGGCUGUUCGCCAUUUAAAGUGGUACGCGAGCUGGGUUUAGAACGUCGUGAGACAGUUCGGUCCCUAUCUGCCGUGGGCGCUGGAGAACUGAGGGGGGCUGCUCCUAGUACGAGAGGACCGGAGUGGACGCAUCACUGGUGUUCGGGUUGUCAUGCCAAUGGCACUGCCCGGUAGCUAAAUGCGGAAGAGAUAAGUGCUGAAAGCAUCUAAGCACGAAACUUGCCCCGAGAUGAGUUC